GGAGCAGUCGUAUAACUGGCAAUACACGCAUGUUACCCGAGAAACAUGCGGAUGAAGGUUCAAUCCCUUCCUGCUUCU
RNAcentral lists this transfer RNA (78 nucleotides) under Eubacterium sp. RNAcentral describes it as "tRNA-OTHER". It matches the Rfam family "tRNA". From Rfam's summary of the family: Transfer RNA (tRNA) molecules are approximately 80 nucleotides in length. The record is from RNAcentral. Lineage: Bacteria; Bacillati; Bacillota; Clostridia; Eubacteriales; Eubacteriaceae.